This 482-nucleotide ribosomal RNA is filed under the name uncultured bacterium. RNAcentral describes it as "partial 16S ribosomal RNA". It matches the Rfam family "Bacterial small subunit ribosomal RNA", at positions 30 to 507 of the family's 1533-position model. The record is from RNAcentral.
AUUGAACGCUGGCGGCAUGCCUUACACAUGCAAGUCGAACGGUAACGGGCCUUCGGGUGCCGACGAGUGGCGAACGGGUGCGUAAUACAUCGGAACGUGUCCGAUCGUGGGGGAUAACGAGGCGAAAGCUUUGCUAAUACCGCAUACGAUCUACGGAUGAAAGCAGGGGACCGCAAGGCCUUGCGCGGACGGUGCGGCCGAUGGCAGAUUAGGUAGUUGGUGGGGUAAAAGCUUACCAAGCCGACGAUCUGUAGCUGGUCUGAGAGGAUGAUCAGCCACACUGGAACUGAGACACGGCCCAGACUCCUACGGGAGGCAGCAGUGGGGAAUUUUGGACAAUGGGCGCAAGCCUGAUCCAGCCAUGCCGCGUGCGUGAUGAAGGCCUUCGGGUUGUAAACUGCUUUUGUACGGAAAGAAAAGCCUUCUUUUAAUACAGGAGGGUCAUGACGGUACCGUAAGAAUAAGCACCGGCUAACUACGUG